Molecule: regulatory RNA element, 103 nt
Organism: Sporanaerobacter acetigenes DSM 13106
Lineage: Bacteria; Bacillati; Bacillota; Tissierellia; Tissierellales; Sporanaerobacteraceae
Rfam family: Glycine riboswitch aptamer
About the family: This family represents the bacterial glycine riboswitch. Glycine riboswitches usually consist of two metabolite-binding aptamers domains with similar structures in tandem. The aptamers cooperatively bind glycine to regulate the expression of downstream genes.
Source: Rfam
AUGAAAAAUGCGGGAGAGAUCAAGUUUUUUGACGCCGAAGGAGUAAGUAUGGGAUUUGCCAUUCUAUUACGAAGCUCUCAGGCAAAGGGACCGUGUUUGGACA